GCGGCCACAGCAAGACGAGCGAUGACUAUUUUUUUUAAAUAUACACAAAUACAGCACUACGCACCCCAAAGCGCCCUUUGGCUCCCAGGACACAGGGCUGUGUUUAAGACAACAGCAUAGGAGCUCAUGACAAGACUAAUUAGGAGCACAAGGGGAGUAUGCAGGCUCAGGACCGAGAGUUUGACAAUGAAUUAAGACCUGGGGCUUUGGGAUACUGAAAUUUGUCAACAAAAUUAACAUUCCCUUUCCUGGAAACUCUCAAGCUGAAGGAGUUUACGAGGACCUUAUUUUAAGUGUCCAACUUGGAGGGAAUUAUCAGAGAGAGAGAGCGAGAGACGGUAAAAACAAACAGUAGCCGCCAUCAGCCCCUUCAACAGCACUGUAAACCUAGCCAAGGAUGGGUUCCCGCCCACUGCUUCUCACAGCCGUUCUCCUCUGAUGCCUUCGCAGAUCGGAAUUUGGGGAAGGAGUGGCCUCCAUGACCUCAACAUCAGAAGCCUAGAGGGUCUUUGUGGCUUAAAGGGCUGUGACACGUGAAGUACUGGCUGCCGAUUGUAGAGGAGAGAUUCCUGGGCAAGUGCAGAGUUAUAUAGAGUGCCCUUUCUACCUGACACACGAAAGAAAUGAGCUGUAACAGACGCCAGCGGCAGGUGCAGGACCUGUGAGCUUCACUCACUGUGCCCCAGUGUUUGGGUUCCUGCGCUUUGAACCGCCUUACUUUAAGAAGCCUUGUCAUUGGAAAAUUGACCGCAGCUGAUGGCUUCUGUCAUUUGUGCUGUUGUUUGGAGGGCAGGGCUCUGCGUCGCUUUGUCAGGCCGCACAGGGAAUGCGCCACCUCCGGCCCGCACUGUCUGCCUACCCAGACCCACAAGGCUCCUCAAAGCCUCCUCACCAAGGGCUGACUCUUUUGCCUUGUUCUUUCUUUUUCUUUCUGUUUAUUCUUUCAAAACAUGUACUCCUUUUAGGCAGUUGCGAGAACUUCUACAAUAAUCUGUGUUCUAAAUUUUAGGAGCCACAAUAAAAAC
RNAcentral lists this long non-coding RNA (1025 nucleotides) under Homo sapiens (human). Its description in RNAcentral is "non-protein coding lnc-ATP13A4-8:1". The record is from RNAcentral. Lineage: Eukaryota; Metazoa; Chordata; Mammalia; Primates; Hominidae.